This 837-nucleotide ribosomal RNA is filed under the name uncultured archaeon SAGMA-N. Its description in RNAcentral is "bacterial SSU rRNA". It matches the Rfam family "Archaeal small subunit ribosomal RNA", at positions 17 to 859 of the family's 1478-position model. The record is from RNAcentral.
CCGGAGGUUACUGCUAUCGAGGUUCGACUAAGCCAUGCGAGUCGAAUGUAGCAAUACAUGGCGUACUGCUCAGUAACACGUGGACAACCUACCCUCAGGACGGGGAUAAACCCGGGAAACUGGGUAUAAUACCCGAUAGUCCUCGAAUGCUGGAAUGCAUCGAGGACGAAAGCCCCGGCGCCUCAGGAUGGGUCUGCGGCCUAUCAGGUAGUAGUGGGUGUAGCGUACCUACUAGCCUACGACGGGUACGGGUUGUGAGAGCAAGAGCCCGGAGAUGGAUUCUGAGACACGAAUCCAGGCCCUACGGGGUGCAGCAGGCGCGAAAACUUUACAAUGCUGGCAACAGCGAUAAGGGGACCUCGAGUGCCAGGUUAUAAAUCUGGCUGUCGUGAUGCCUAAAAAGCAUUGCAUAGCAAGGGCCGGGCAAGACCGGUGCCAGCCGCCGCGGUAACACCGGCGGCUCGAGUGGUAACCGUUAUUAUUGGGUCUAAAGGGUCUGUAGCCGGCCGGAUAAGUCUUUUGGGAAAUCUGGCAGCUUAACUGUCAGGCUUUCAGGAGAUACUGUCUGGCUCGAGGCCGGGAGAGGUGAGAGGUACUUCAGGGGUAGGGGUGAAAUCUUGUAAUCCUUGAAGGACCACCAGUGGCGAAGGCGUCUCACCAGAACGGACCUGACGGCAAGGGACGAAAGCUAGGGGCACGAACCGGAUUAGAUACCCGGGUAGUCCUAGCCGUAAACGAUACUCGCUAGGUGUCGGCCACGGUGCGACCGUUGUCGGUGCCGUAGGGAAGCCGUGAAGCGAGCCACCUGGGAAGUACGGCCGCAAGGCUGAAACUUAA